ACGUAGGAGGCGAGCGUUGUCCGGAUUCAUUGGGCGUAAAGAGCACGUAGGCGGUUUGGCAAGUCGGAUGUGAAAACCCGGAGCUCAACUCCGGACCUGCAUCCGAAACUGCCCGACUAGAGGUAGGUAGGGGAGAUCGGAAUUCCUGGUGUAGCGGUGAAAUGCGCAGAUAUCAGGAGGAACACCGGUGGCGAAGGCGGGUCUCUGGGCCGAUACUGACGCUGAGGAGCGAAAGCGUGGGGAGCGAACAGGA
This 253-nucleotide ribosomal RNA is filed under the name uncultured prokaryote. Its description in RNAcentral is "partial 16S ribosomal RNA". It matches the Rfam family "Bacterial small subunit ribosomal RNA", at positions 525 to 777 of the family's 1533-position model. The record is from RNAcentral.